CACCUACGUAUAUUAAAACAAAGGUUUGAUCACAAUUUCCGUCAACAAAUACGCAUGGAUCCGACUUGGUUGGAAUGAGACCAAGUGAUAGAAGGGUCUCCUCAAGUCUCUCCAGUGUUUGCUGGUAUCUAGAUAAAAUUAUCUAGAUGAUUAUUUAGAUAAAAAAUGGAUUAUCUUUAUCUUAGAUAAAAAUAUAUGUCAUCUUAUCUAAAAAUUAUCUAAGAUGAUGUUUUUGUUGCAAAAACAUAUUUGAACAUAUAAAGGGUGUCAACAUAUUUAUAUUCUGGAAAAAUCGUGGCAAAUGGCAAAUAAUAGUGUAAAGGAGCGUUCCCACCGAGCGCGUUACGCGUCGUCCUUUGCUAUUCAAAACAUCUAUUAUAUUUCAUUAUAAUAAAAUGAGACGUUUUGAUUGGACGCGAAGGACGACGCGACGCAUGACGCGCUCGGUGGGAAUGCUCCCUAAGAUAGCUUUAGGCACACCCGGUACCCUUUUCGUUUUCGCACUUUCGUAUUUAGAAUGCAAAUUAAAGGAACUUCAAUCUCUUAUAAACUUUCCAAAUGUUAACAUGGUUUUUAUGAAAUAUAAUACAGCCUUCGUCGGCGCCUUUUCAGUGUGGCACAGCAAAUAACUAUACCUCGUUGCAACCGAUUAUCAAAUACAACGUUUAAAAAACUUUUAUUUUUGAGAAACUUAAAAUGAGCAAAGAACGCCGUCGAGUCUUUAAUUCUGUUUAUUUACUGUAAUUUGUGCAAUGCAUUAAUGUGAUUUAAUAAACAUGAAUAUUUAAUUAUUCAGUUAUCGGAGCUGCCUCCGCUAAACUGAAUAAUUAUCGUUUAAAUAUUCAUGUUUAUUAAAUCAUAUUAAUAUAUUUAUGAUUUUAAUAUCCCAUUUAUAAAUUAUAUUCUACGUUAUAUUUUUUACAAAUUUUUAUAAAUAAUCUUAUAAAAUAAACAAAAUUAUCUAGAAAAUUAUCUAGAUAAUCGCAAUAGUCAUCUCAUCUUUCAUCUAGAUUAAGUAAAAGCAAAAUCAUCUUCAUCUUAUCUAAGAUAAAUUCACGGAUUUGUAUCUUUAUCUUUAUCUAGAUAAUUUUGAAAUUAUCUACGGCAAACACUGAAUCUCUCAUACCAUUGACGCCCUGCUUCCUUAAAGCCGUAGAGUGCUUUGUUGAGUCGACAAACCCGGUCGCCAUCAAUCAACUGGGAUAACAUCAUCUCGGCUUUAGACGUUAACUCGAUACCGGAUUUCUGAUGAAUCAUUCUUCUUAGCAUUUCUUUAGCUUGGGCUUUGAAAUGUAGAUUUUCGUUGCUUUCUCUACACCUGCGUCGGCAUCUUCUCUGACGGAUUGAUCGUAUACGGGAACGUCAGGUUUAUCUAUAGCGACAUGUUUAAUGUCUUCGGCUGUUCCCGGAUUCACAGCGAUUUCCGUUGUAGUAGGAUGGACAACGUCCGGCGUCGCAUCGUUGCAGUCGUUCUGUCGUGGUUGGCAGUGUCCUCGAGCUCAUUUUCAGAGGAGUCGAAGAACUUGACGUCUCUUAAAAUGCAAAUCUUCUUUGUGCUUGAAAUCCAAACCCGAUAGGCCUUAGAUAGGCGUUAGAAUAGCCCACAAAUAUGCCAUCCAUCGCUCUGAGUUGGAACUUUCCUUUGUUGGACGCGUUGUCCGUAACAAAAACCUUGGAACCAAAGAUACGAAAGUGUUCGACAUUCGGCUUCUCACCGGUCCCACGCCUUAUAUGGAGUGCCUUGAAUCAGACUUUUAGAGAUGCAUCUGUUGCGAAUAUAAUGCGCCAUUGCAAUGGCUUUGGCCCAGAAUGUGUGUGGUAAGAACCUGUGUGUAGAAGUACCUUGAACUAAAUGAAAACCGUAAAAUAUGCAAUUUUUUACGUAAACUUUGAACGCAAUUUGUUGUUAGAAAAAGUAAAUCUGUGAAAAAAUUAAUAACAGCAUUUAAAAGUGUAAACUUUCAGCUUUCCAACGCUUUUUUGCUGAGCGCUGUACGUUGAUUUGUUUACGAGUAACAAGCGAUGAAAGUCAAAAUGACCAUUUUUACUUAAAAUCUCAAUAACUCGGUCAAAAAAAAUCGUACAGCAAUGAACAACUACUCAAAAUAAAGGGAAAAGAUCCCGCUCUAGGAUGCAAGUAACAAAAAUACUCUAUGAUUUUUUUCACGCGAGAUGCAACGCAGCAAAUUCGCAUUAAAAAUUUUUAUUUUAACGGGUCAAGCUUCAUCAUUGUACCACGUUGGUGAAAAAAAAGAUAACUAAAAUCACCAAAAAGCGUUUAAGAAAAGAAGUUUCAAUCUUUAAAACGCUUUAUGGAUUUUGUUUCUACGAUGAUUUUUUGCUGAGUUAUAGCAGUUUGAAAAUAGCCUAAAUAUUCGGUAUACAAAAAGUGUUCCCUAUUUUUUUUAGUAGUAUAUAUAUGUAUAAUACAAACUGUAAUAGCAAAAAUUUUACAACUAAUAAUACUAACAUAUAAAUAUUGAACUCCACGUUGCAACAAAAAAGCAAUGUUAUUAUACAUAUACAUAUACACAAGCUGAUAGAAAUGAUAGACAUACUAACUGUACUAAUUCGGAUACGUAAUUUUUUUCAAUGUGGAAGCAUAUGAAAAUGAGAGAUUAAUUUGAAUUAUUGCCCUCGCACAUUAAUUUCCGUAAUCAUAAGUAUAAGACGUAACGUAAGAAUUAGUCAAUGGAAUUAGAAGAUAGAACAAUUCAACCAAUCAUAGAACAUCCAUAAAAUAUUAUCCGUAACAGUAAACAUAAAAAUAUAACUUGACCAAUUAUAAAUAACUUUUAAAAGAUAAAAAAAAUAGAAGAAGAAAUAUAUAAAUAGUUGUGAAAUGUUUUAUUUAUACAUAUUUUACAAAAUAUUAAAAUAUUGUUAAUAUAUAAAGAUAUACCUAUAUAAACAUAGUUUAUAAUAUAAAAGAGAGUUUAGCUUCGAACCCUGGACGGGUCGAGGCGCGAAGAAAAGUUUUAAGUUAGAUUAGGUUAAAAA
Monomorium pharaonis (pharaoh ant) is the source of this 3000-nucleotide long non-coding RNA. RefSeq lists it as uncharacterized. The transcript has 2 exons. Lineage: Eukaryota; Metazoa; Arthropoda; Insecta; Hymenoptera; Formicidae. The record is from RefSeq and is a predicted model, not a curated record.